GACGAACGCUGGCGGCGUGCCUAAUACAUGCAAGUCGAACGAAGCUGUUUUAACUGGUGCUUGCACCGACUUAAACAACUGAGUGGCGAACGGGUGAGUAACACAUGGGUAACCUGCCCCAAAGCGGGGGAUAACAUUUGGAAACAGAUGCUAAUACCGCAUAAUCACAGAAACCACAUGGUUUCUGUGUCAAAGAUGGUUUCGGCUAUCACUUUGGGAUGGACCCGCGGCGUAUUAGCUAGUUGGUAAGGUAAUGGCUUACCAAGGCAAUGAGACGUAGGCGAACUGAGAGGUGGUUCGGCCACAUUGGGACUGAGACACGGCCCAAACUCCUACGGGAGGCAGCAGUAGGGAAUCUUCCACAAUGGACGAAAGUCUGAUGGGGCAACGCCGCGUGAGUGAAGAAGGUUUUCGGAUCGUAAAACUCUGUUGUCAGAGAAGAACGUGUGCGAGAGUAACUGUUCGUGCAGUGACGGUAUCUGGCCAGAAAGCCACGGCUAACUACGUGCCAGCCGCCGCAGUAA
This 524-nucleotide ribosomal RNA is filed under the name uncultured bacterium. RNAcentral describes it as "partial 16S ribosomal RNA". It matches the Rfam family "Bacterial small subunit ribosomal RNA", at positions 28 to 523 of the family's 1533-position model. The record is from RNAcentral.